GCCUCGUGUUAGAAAUUAUUAUUCUUAUGACCAAAUAUUAUUUUACAUUAAUUUUUCAGGCAUCCAGGAGGGGGGUCAUGUGACUUCGUCAUAUAAGGUGUCAACAGGUUUAGCAAGAAAAACAAGCAGUGCUGAAUUAAAAUGUUGAUGGUCAAGGAUAUAUUAUUAUUUCUAAGGGUUAUACUGGGAGCAGUAUA
Long non-coding RNA from Camponotus floridanus (Florida carpenter ant), 197 nucleotides. RefSeq lists it as uncharacterized. The transcript is spliced from 3 exons. Lineage: Eukaryota; Metazoa; Arthropoda; Insecta; Hymenoptera; Formicidae. The record is from RefSeq and is a predicted model, not a curated record.